AUAGGUCUUGGAGUCUGUAUUGAUGCUCGUGUGCUGCACCGUAUAGAGCGGGGAGCUAAAUGAGACGGAACAAAACUUGUUCGGUCUCUGAUGAGGGCACUGUUCGAUCCUGAGGAAAUGAUUGGAAGAACACUGUAUGGUAAACCGUGCAAUGCGCACCAGAAUGCAGUAACAAAGCCAGCAGUCGAUGAGACAAGGCGUGAGGCCAUCCUGGCGUACACAUGCAAGAAGACGACGACCGGCCUCCG
Molecule: long non-coding RNA, 248 nt
Organism: Ornithodoros turicata
Lineage: Eukaryota; Metazoa; Arthropoda; Arachnida; Ixodida; Argasidae
Exons: 3
Source: RefSeq, a predicted model, not a curated record